CGCUUGGAACAAAAAUUACAUGC
Molecule: non-coding RNA, 23 nt
Filed under: Arabidopsis thaliana (thale cress)
Lineage: Eukaryota; Viridiplantae; Streptophyta; Magnoliopsida; Brassicales; Brassicaceae
Source: RNAcentral